UUAUUUUGUUUUGGUUUAUAUUACAUUCUUUGACUUGGUGUUUAAAAAGGGUGAAAACCUCACUGCCGAAACCUAAUAGAGCGGUUAAGCUCGUUCGAAAUCUCAUUAGUUCAGUUUGUAGUUUGAUGCACAAUGGGUUGGAGAGUGGAGGUCAGGCCUUCGCAGUGAAGCAAAGCACCCUAAAAUUCACUAAUGAUCCUUCCGCAGGUUCACCUACGGAAA
This 222-nucleotide unclassified non-coding RNA is filed under the name uncultured fungus. RNAcentral's name for it is "sequence contains ITS1". The record is from RNAcentral. Lineage: Eukaryota; Fungi.